This 109-nucleotide transfer RNA is filed under the name Apiotrichum porosum. RNAcentral describes it as "tRNA-Pro". It matches the Rfam family "tRNA". From Rfam's summary of the family: Transfer RNA (tRNA) molecules are approximately 80 nucleotides in length. Lineage: Eukaryota; Fungi; Basidiomycota; Tremellomycetes; Trichosporonales; Trichosporonaceae. The record is from RNAcentral.
GCUCUCGUGGUGUAGUGGCUAUCAUACUUUCUUAGGGUCCAGUCUUGGUCUUUAAGCCUUACCUCACGAGCUAUGGAAGUGGUCCUGGGUUCAAAUCCCGGCGAGGGCC